RNA transcript from Dioscorea cayenensis subsp. rotundata (Guinea yam), 1685 nucleotides. RefSeq lists it as uncharacterized. The transcript is spliced from 8 exons. NCBI's taxonomy places the organism in Eukaryota, Viridiplantae, Streptophyta, Magnoliopsida, Dioscoreales, Dioscoreaceae. The record is from RefSeq and is a predicted model, not a curated record.
AGUCUAGAACGGAAGCAAAGCGGGAAAGGAAAAGAUUGAUCAAUGGAGGGCGGAAAAGAGGAAUCAGGGUUAGGGCACGAAGAGAGACCUCAGGGCUUGACGCCAUGGGAGCAGCAUUCGAAGGUGAUCCUCAUCCCUCGCUUCGAUUACAAAGCAUCUUCUUCUCUCCUCGAGCGCUCUCAUUCCGGAUUCCUCAUCACCUGCCCCAUCAAACGAGAGAAAAGUGCCACAAAGGAAGCCAUCACAAUACUUGAAGAGUAUGCUGGCCCUAUGUUUGGCAAAAAUCUUGAUGAAAGUGUUCCUGUAAAGAGAAGGAAAGUAUGUCUCAUUGAAGAGGAGGAAGGAUAUGACAAAUGUGUGGAAAGCAUAGAAACUGACAGCGAUUUGCAGGCUUGCCGUAAAGUUACGAAAGAAGCUAGCAUAACUUCGUCUAAAAUAGACGACAGUUCGAAAGCAAGUCCCAGUUUAUCAUUGGUUAAAUUAACAAAGAGCGGGUUGCUUCUUCUUACCUUCCUGAGCGAUAAUGUCCAUCAGACUGUUGAUACAUUAUCUUGUAUUUUUCAUUCUCUGGGAUCUGGAAAGCUAAAAGCACCAAUUUGGUGUAAUCGGAUCUUUCCUAUCCAAGAAACUUGUAUUUUGACAGAGGAGAACCUCAAUGCUGUGGUCUCAAAACUUUUUAAGGAAUACUUAUCCAAUAAACAGGUCACACCUGAGACGUCUAUCAAGUUUGCUGUUGGGUACAACCGGAGAGGCAUUGAUGAAACAACAACAAAGGCUAGGAAGAGCACUGAUGAGGAUUCCCAAGGAUUGGGUUUGUUGGAUCGAGAUAAGUGCUUUGAGGUUGUUGCUCGAGCUAUUAAGGUUAUUGCUAAUAAUGCCAGUGUGGAUCUAAAAUCCCCAGAGGUAGCUGUGCUCGUUGAACUGCUGCCCGUUUCAGGAGUACUGCAAGGAUCAUCAGUUGCUGGUGUAUCAGUCCUUCCACACAAUCUCCUGACCACCAAGCCUCGUCUCUGCAUCAAAUCUCUGGUCUCAGAUUCAAAAGCAGCAAAGAGAAAGGAAUCUUGAAAACCGAAACUAGAUCCCUUUGCCUCAAACAACAUAAUUUAAAUUCCUGAGCACACGAGAUCUUCCCAAAUGUAUUCACCUCACCAUAAUAAAUUCCAAGUUAAAAGAGAAGAAAGGGAGAAGAAGACAACAUCCUCUCAGCUGCUGCACAAAGGACUCAUGAUUCUCUGAAAACAGUGCAAAUUAGGAACUUCUUGGCCUGUAUUGAUGUAGUUGCAGAGGGGACCAUGUUCACAGGUAAUGCAAUAAUUUGCAUGCAAACUUCCUACUGUUAUUUGUCAUGGUGCCAUAAGAUGCAGGAUAUUGAACAGGAGACAAUUAGAAUGAUGGCAACAGACAGGGAAAAUAAAUUCAAGAGUUGGAUUGUUUUGUUCAUGUACUUUGCCCAGCUGGUUGUGUUAAAUGCUGGUCUUUCUUAGCACUGUGUUUGUGUGUUGAAGUUCUUGACUGCAAUGAUGUUCAACCAUGUUCAACUCUCUACUCAUCUCUGUCAAAGUGGUCCUAUACCAGCACUAUGCAACCAGCCUCUCUAAAACUUCAGGCAUUUACUGUAUUUGUUUGAAAUUGUUAUACUUUUUUGGUGAAGACUUGAAGAUGAAAUGGACCAUGGCUUGCUAUUA